This 49-nucleotide transfer RNA is filed under the name Pseudoroegneria strigosa. RNAcentral describes it as "partial tRNA-Phe". Lineage: Eukaryota; Viridiplantae; Streptophyta; Magnoliopsida; Poales; Poaceae. The record is from RNAcentral.
CAAGAAAAGGUCAGGAUAGCUCAGUUGGUAGAGCAGAGGACUGAAAAUC